GAUCUCAGGUGGUUCGCCCGGGGAAGAUACGUUCCAAAGAGAGCCCCGGAACUGACUCGACGUGUCAACGAGCGUGGGCACGUCGUACGUCACAGGAACAGCCGGUGCGGCGGUGAAGCGGCGUGAAGAAUCUGCACGUACCACGCGGACCGGGAGAUGCCGACGAGGAUACCGAUUCGAGAGCAAGCCGCUUUCUUUGAAGGAAGCCGCGUGCCACCCUCCGACGAGCCGGGGAUCACGAGCCGAGCCGGCGCGCGAGGAACAGAACUGUCCGCCCUUUACUCCGGCUCGCUCUACCUCUGAAUCAUCCACGUCGCCCACGCAUCGCGAUGCCGGGGGCUCUGCGUAGGAUACGGUAAUUUGGAAAUACCCGAGUUCCCUCACCAUUGAUCGUUACGAGAGCAGGGAGCAUCGUAGUUCGAAGGGAUGAAAAUCGUCAGGUGUGGGUGGUUGGAACAUCGAUGAACGAAUAUCCCCACUACAAACUAUCCGGUGAGAGUAGCGUGGGAGUUUCCAAGGUCAUCGCAAGAGCAAAACGUAGUACGACGCCUCCGCCGGGACGCCCGCGCACGAAGCGUGGGCGUGAAUUGUACAUAUAUGUAUAAGCUAUGCACACAAGAUUUCAAAUCAUUGAUGGCACUUUAAUAUGCGUUUUACUGUUGUAUGUUCUUAAUUAUGUUAUUAAUUGAAGCAUAGCUGGAAUAAAGAUAUUUGUCGUGUAA
Long non-coding RNA from Acromyrmex echinatior (Panamanian leafcutter ant), 722 nucleotides. RefSeq lists it as uncharacterized. Lineage: Eukaryota; Metazoa; Arthropoda; Insecta; Hymenoptera; Formicidae. The record is from RefSeq and is a predicted model, not a curated record.